Molecule: ribosomal RNA, 440 nt
Filed under: uncultured bacterium
Lineage: Bacteria
Description: partial 16S ribosomal RNA
Rfam family: Bacterial small subunit ribosomal RNA
Source: RNAcentral
CCUACGGGGGGCAGCAGUGGGGAAUAUUGCACAAUGGGGGAAACUCUGAUGCAGCGACGCCGCGUGAGUGAAGAAGUAUUUCGGUAUGUAAAGCUCUAUCAGUAGGGAAGAAGUUGACGGUACCUGAGUAAGAAGCCCCGGCUAACUACGUGCCAGCAGCCGCGGUAAUACGUAGGGGGCAAGCGUUAUCCGGAUUUACUGGGUGUAAAGGGAGCGUAGACGGCAGUGCAAGUCUGAAGUGAAAGCCCCGGGCUUAACCCGGGAAUUGCUUUGGAAACUGUACGGCUGGAGUGCUGGAGAGGUAAGCGGAAUUCGUGGUGUAGCGGUGAAAUGCAUAGAUAUCACGCAGAACUCCGAUUGCGAAGGCAGCAUACCGGCGCGCAACUGACGCUCAUGCACGAAAGCGUGGGUAUCGAACAGGAUUAGAUACCCUAGUAGUC